RNAcentral lists this transfer RNA (73 nucleotides) under Albula goreensis. It matches the Rfam family "tRNA". Rfam says of the family: Transfer RNA (tRNA) molecules are approximately 80 nucleotides in length. Their secondary structure includes four short double-helical elements and three loops (D, anti-codon, and T loops). Lineage: Eukaryota; Metazoa; Chordata; Actinopteri; Albuliformes; Albulidae. The record is from Rfam by way of RNAcentral.
GGGGAAUUAGCUCAAAUGGUAGAGCGCUCGCUUAGCAUGCAAGAGGUAGCGGGAUCCAUGCUUGCAUUUUCCA